CGUGUGCUCUUCCGAAUGAUUCUCGUCAGAAAAAAAAAAAUCCCAAGCCAAAUACUCAUCGAUCUAGCAAGCGAGCGGCCUUCUUCCCCGACCCCGACCAGCUCUCUCGCGCCCGACCUCGCUCCACACCGUCAGGUCAUCCAUCAGCAGCAACGAACGCAUGCAUUAUCUAAAUCUGAAGAUUGCCAAGAGAAAAACAACGGGGAAAGAUUUAAGGCGCUUCGUUGCUCCCUGCCCGCAACCUGUUCGGCGUUUUGCCUCCAAGGACCCGGAGGAGAAGAAGGCCAAGAUGAAGGAGCUGCUGACCAAGUAUGAGCCGCGGAGAAAGAUGUCUAUCUAAAGGUGGCUUAUUUUCGUUUGGGUGCUCCUCAAGCUGGAGAUCAAGUUGUUGCUUAAGCGUUCCGGCAUUGGAACCAUUAACAAGCAAGAUUUGCUUCAGUUCUCUUAGAUUGUCCAGGCCAGAAUACUGAUAUGGCGGCGACCCACUG
Brachypodium distachyon (stiff brome) is the source of this 488-nucleotide long non-coding RNA. RefSeq lists it as uncharacterized. NCBI's taxonomy places the organism in Eukaryota, Viridiplantae, Streptophyta, Magnoliopsida, Poales, Poaceae. The record is from RefSeq and is a predicted model, not a curated record. The transcript is spliced from 4 exons.